Molecule: long non-coding RNA, 686 nt
Filed under: Fukomys damarensis (Damara mole-rat)
Lineage: Eukaryota; Metazoa; Chordata; Mammalia; Rodentia; Bathyergidae
Description: lncRNA (ENSFDAG00000023537.1)
Source: RNAcentral
CAUACAUUUGACUUUGGGAAGUUGAAACAGACUCUGUCAGGCUCCCUUUUGCCAGGGCCUUGGAAGAGAUAUGUGACCAACAGCUCUGCCUGCAACCUAGAAGCCUGCUCACAUACAAAAAGUAAUAAGGAAGAUCUGGAAAAAAAAAAAGCCAAAAAAACAAACAAGCUGAUUCUUUUUAAGAACACACCAAAGCCAAAUAACUGCAGUUAGGCGUGAAGUGCCGUCCUUGGGUUUUGAAACAUGCAUCUCUAUAAACCUGCCUGUACAGACAUCCCCAGCCCGAAGCUCGGUCUGCCCAAAUCCAGUGAAUCGGCUCUAAAAUACCGACGGAACCUAACAGUGAACAAGACUCAACCUCAGGCAACUUGCUGGCCUAUUAGGCCCAGUGAAACCACAGAACGGAAAUAUCUGGAGAAGUUUUUACGCGUCCACGGAAUUUCGUUGCAGGAAACCACCAGGGCACAGACGGGUAUGGCCUACAGUUUAUCUUUAAACCUCCCGGAGACAUUGAAGGGGCCAAAUGCAUAUAGUUCAAGAAGAUAAAAAUAAAUUAAAAAGAUGAAGGAAAAAAUAAGGCCAAGAAAGACAAACAAGGAAAAGGAGACAGAGCCAGGGAGAGGUAAGACCGUGGCCAGGCAAGGGUAGCCGUAAGUGUUUGACCCAGAUUUGCCCCUGCAUUUUCU